UUGGAAGAUUUCUGACUCAGGGCCUUUUAAAGGAUGUUUUUUAUUUCUACAUGUGAUCUUUGUUGCUUUUCUUUGUUCCUGUGUUUUAUGUCGUAGUUUUUGUCUUAAAGCUGAUGGAUGUUCAGACAUUUAUUCAGAGUUUUCACUCUAAAAGGUUAAAGCAGCUGAUUUAUUCCUUGUCUCUCCGGCCUGUGAAAGUUCCUCUGAGCGUUGAAGGAAUCAAACGGAGCUGCAGGAGGUUUCUGUCGCUGAGCACAAAAUUACCCACUGGAUCUGUUUGGUUUUGUGAGAGGCUUAAUUAACAUUCCCUGAGUGUUUACAGUCAAUUACUCAACACAGUGGCUUUCUGUGGGAGCUACUCAUUACGACGCUGUCACAGAGAGAACAAAUCCUCCUCUAAGGAAGGAAUCCCCACAGAAACGAGCUUCACCAGAAAACAGUCAUUUCAGAAGUUAAGUGCUUUUCUCUGAAACGUCCACUGAUCCUCGAAAAUCAUCUGAGAAAGCGACCCGCAGAGUGUUUGUGGUUCGGUGGAUUCCAGAGAGCGUUUAAAGCUGUAAACAUCCAGCAGAGCUAGCAGGCUAACGGCCGACAACACACCAGAGAUGUUCUGAUAGGAAGAGCAGCUGCCGCAACUCAUGAAACCUCCACCAGCAAACACCACGAGCUGCUGGAACAUCUAAUUACACCUCCAGAUCCUGACCAGCUCCUGACCUGCUGCUCCUCCUCAGCCCACCGCAGAAACAGUCGCAUGAAGAAGGAUCUGCAUCGGGACAUUAACAUUCCUGCUGGUUACUGAGGAGAACGUAGAGCAGAUGGAAGCUCUUAGAACCCAUCAGACAAAAGGACAAACUAAAGGCAGAACACAGGAAACAAUCCAGCAGAACAAAGAACAAGCUGGACGUCUACUGAAGUCAUCAUUUAUAGGUCAGAGGAGUUGGAAUCAUCUCAGUCCAGGUUCCACAUCCAGACCAGUCUGAUGUCCAGUAAAACCAGUAAAACCACAGCAUGAUAACCUCUAAAUAACCACAACUCCUAAUGGUUCCUUCGUUUUAGUGCAGAAAUGUUCACAUUUAAGGAAUUAUCUUUUUACUAAACAUCAUGAACAACCUGAACUUUAUGAAGAAAAUAAGUUCAGUUUCACCAGCAUUCAUCCUCAGUUUAUCAUUUCCACAUCACAACUUCCAGAUCACAGAGUGUCUACAAAGGAACACAACAUUUAGUCAUCUGGACCUGAACCAUGGAGGAUUUUACUUUAAAAACUAAAAAACACAACAAAAACAUGACAAAAAAAUUACAAAGAUGAGACACAAAAUGACGAAAAAUGAGACACUAAACACGAAGCAACAAAACCGAGAAAUAAUUUGAUCAACAACUUACAAAGCAAGAAACAAUGGACAAAAACAAGACAAAAACGACAAAAAAAGAAACAAAUCGAGAAAAAAAUAGACCGAAAACAACUGUACACAAAAUAACAAAGUGAAACACAAAAUGACAAAAAAAGAAACAAAUCGAGAAAAAAAUGGACUGAAAACAACUGUACACAAAAUAACAAAGUGAAACACAAAAUGACAAAAAAAACCCCGACAAAAAUCAGUCAAAAAAACAACAUAAACAGACAAAAUAUUACAAAAAUGAGACAUAUGAACAAUCCAGUAUUUUACUUCAUGAUCCAAACAACUUGUCAUGGUCUAGAAAUGAUUUUAAAUUUAUAGUUUUACUAAUUUACAAUCUGCAGUUAAUGUCUUCUCUGGAAUUUUUACACUUUGAGGGCCGGAUUGGACCCUCUGGAGGACCACUUUUGGCCCACGGGCCUCAUGUUGGACCCUCUGGAGGACCACUUUUGGACCACGGGCCUCAUGUUGGACCCUCUGGAGGACCACUUUUGGACCACGGGCCUCAUGGUGGACCCUCUGGAGGACCGCUUUUGGACCACGGGCCUCAUGGUGGACCCUCUGGAGGACCGCUUUUGGACCACGGGCCUCAUGUUGGACCCUCUGGAGGACCACUUUUGGACCACGGGCCUCAUGGUGGACCCUCUGGAGGACCACUUUUGGACCACGGGCCUCAUGGUGGACACCCUGCUAUAGUUGAUCAGAACCAAAACCGAUCUAAAUCAUCAUAACAGAACACUUCGGUGAUAUUUAUGGAACCCUGUUUACUUGUUGGUUCCUGGAGAAACUUUGAUCACUAAUAAAAAGGUUCCCAGAAAUGAAUACUCCACAGAGUUCAUACAAAAUUACAUAUUAACAGGUUCUGAGUUUAACCUAAACCCCACUGGGUGGUUCUCUGAAGGACUGUCCACUACUACAGAAGGUUCUCAAGGAACCAUCUUGAACUCCAAAAGUUCUUCAACAGUGGAACCCUGGAAGGUUAUUCUAGGUUCCUCUAUUUGUCAGAGUGAUUUGUCUCUGGUUAGACGUCAUUAAGUAGAACAGAAGUCUUUGUCAUGGUACCUACUUCUGCUACACUCCCACAAUGCUCUCUGCUUUAACCUCCUCUGGUCUCACAAUUAAACAGGAAGAGGCUCCACCUGGUGGAACAAACAGGAACUGAAGCUGGUUUACAUUUACUGACAUGGAGAGAAAACAGGUUUACUGCAGUACAUCCUACCAUCUAGUCCUACAUUUACCCUCUAACGCUAACCACUAAUCUCCCACCCACAGAGCAGAACAGGAGAAGAUGAUGCUGAAGGUCUGAUGAACACCAGAAGAACCAGGAACUCCCAGUAGGUGGUACUAAGUGGUCCAGCUGGAGCUGCUGGGGAUGCUAGGCUAAUGCUAACACUGAGAGACUAGCUGUUAGCUCUUAGCUUGUGGCUAACACCAGUUAGACUAACUUCAGCUCUCUGUUCUGACCAGCAAACAGAAAAAAACUGAACCAGUAGCAGAAACAUCGACACAAAGCAGAACAUUAGCCGCAGUGGCUAAUGCUAUGCUAACGGCUAAGCUAGCAGACAACCACAGAUUAACAGGCUCUGGAAAACAAAUAUUUUUGUAGCCCUGUCCAAAAAGCAAUCUACAAUGCAUUAAAAAAAUAAAAGUGUUAAAAUUCUAUGUUAGUGGUUGUAAAUAGUGAAAAUUCAUAGUAUUAAUUAAAAGUGGUAAAAAAAAAAAAAAAAAAGCUCACUGAAAUCUAUACAUAUAGUUUUUCAAAUACAAGGUUUUGUACUAAUAGUGGAUAGAGGAUUUAUGUUCUUUAAAAUGUGUUAUUUAGAAAAACGUUUAUUUCACUCAUUGUAUGUGUAAUCAGUUGUACAAUCUAACUUUUAUGUCAUGUGUAUGUCAAUCAGUAUGUUUCUUUAUGUUCAUUGGAGCUGUCAUGAGGUAAAACCCAAUUAGAGUUAAGAAGGGGCGGGACAAGCGCAGGUCAAGGUAUUGCGAGGUUUUUGCGAACAGACGCUUCUGUCCAGUGAAGGGAGAGACGAGCUGCAACAGAAGAGUGUGACGCUGAGAUCAAAUUAUUCCAGGUUGACUACCCGUGGACCAGGGUAUAAUUUUGAAGCUGAAGCGAGAAGAGACUGUCGGUGUGGGAGAGGAGGAAGUCGAAGAGGUUUUCCUUGGCCUUCCAUGCGGACGGACUGCUGUUUUUCUUCCGGUCAUUCCUGUGACGUGGUGUAUCAGCUCGACUGCCAAUGUCAUCACCAUCAUCAUCACCAAUGCGCCUGUGACUAUCCUGCUCGUUAUUCGUUGGGACUCGUGAGUACAGUAUGAACAGAACUUGCACGUGCAUUUAUUUUUGCUCCAUUUGAGUGAAGCGGCCAUUCGUUCUCGGCCUCAACGUACCCGAGCACCGACUCAGGCCUGCAACGUUUUUUUUUUAAAUCUUUGAGUUAAAAGGAGUGUGUGUAGAUUUGCAUUGAGCAUGUUGAUACGUGUGAUUUUUCUGUGAACUGAAAUCCACGUUUUAUUAUUAGUCUGGUUUAAAUGGUAAAAAACGUCUUGGUAUAAAAAAGGAAGUUGAAAGAUCUUAAAAUUUAGGUUUAAGGUAAUAAUAAGGUGAAUUUGUUUGUGUUUAAAAUUAUAAAGUAGAAAAAGGUGUUAAAUCUUUGAAACCCAAAGUAAAUAGUGUUUUGGUGUAAAUUAAAGAAACGUAAAGGUUUUGUUUAUUUUCUGAACUCAAAGGUUUAAUAGAGGGUGUAAAGACUGAAGCAAUUUAUUCGUUUUAAUCACUGUGGUUUAAAAUAUUUUGUUUACAGUUUUAAUUUCAUUUUCUAAGAAAGAUUUAAAGAUUUGCCUAAAUUUAUUUUUUUUUCUUUUCACUAAUUGUAUAAAUAAAAUACCUAAUACAGGAUCAUUGAAUUUAAA
Long non-coding RNA from Acanthochromis polyacanthus (spiny chromis), 4307 nucleotides. RefSeq lists it as uncharacterized. The transcript is spliced from 2 exons. Lineage: Eukaryota; Metazoa; Chordata; Actinopteri; Pomacentridae. The record is from RefSeq and is a predicted model, not a curated record.